GGCUAUUUCUCAUGCAAGCGACGACGGAUCUACUCACUAGAAAUGGCAGCAUGAUAGCCAAUAUAUUGGAGCCCCCUUGUGGCAAAUGCAGAAGAUUGACUUGACGAGUCGCGAUACUUGUGUGCCAGAAGGACAGCUCAUUACAUCACCCUGGGUGACUCCAUCUCCCUCAAGAGAAAGGAGAAAUGACAAUUCAAUUGGUUUGCAAGUCCAAUGAACAUAAAUCACAAGCUCAACUCAAGAAUCCAGAGUGUGAAGACUCUGGGAUGGCAAGGAUGAUCAAACUCUCGCCCGUAUGCUGCAGUGUGCCGAGAGCUGGGCAAUGUUGUCAAUUUCUGCCUGAAUGGCUCUCAGGUUGCUGGUCAUUCUACCACUCAAAGUGUGCAGUGAAGAGGAAGAUAAACAGAGCACAGGAAAGCCAAGAGUUUUCACUCUCAGAAGUCAGUUUAUCCAGUGGCUCUCAUAAUGCUAAUGUGAGACCCGUGUCCCACCAACCACGUGAUCGAUCGUCCAGUGAUGCGUCCAGCACGUGUGGUCUCACCCUGCCUGUGGAGAGCAGGAAGGAGAUGGGUCCUCCACCUGAUAAUGUUGUAUGCCUCGCUAAACAAAACGACCCAAUCAGGAGUCAGCACAUUGUGGAGAUAGCCCCUGCCCCCUGGGAGAGGGACGCUGUUUUGCGUGUGGAGCUGUGGGACUUGGGGCGGGACUGUGGAAAGCCACGCUACAGAAUGGAGUGGGAGCUCUCAGAGGGGUUCACGCUGUUGGGAACAGGUGUCUGGCUCUCCAGGAUUGUCAAGUGAAAAUGAGAUGAAACAGUCCUACAGAAACAAAGAUAAAUCCAGCUGGGCAGGGUGGCAUGGGGGAAGACUUACAGGCUCUCAACAGCUGUCUUCUGUAUGUUGCCGUACCUGUAACCCAUGACUACAUCACAGAUGCUCACCUCUCUAAUGUGGAAAGCUCAUCGCCAGCCACUCCACAGAACAUACCUAAUGAGGACCUGGAGGCAACCUCACCAUCGAUCCCCAGAUUUUAUUCUUAGUCUUUAUUUGAAUGUAAAAACUGAAGCAAGCAGUCUGCAGGGAAACUAAUGAUGAAAUCCAAACAGUGUACAGUUGCUAUUCAAAGCAAAUCGAAUAAUCGAACAACGCACAUUGUCUUUAAAUUAAAACAAUUAGGUGUUUCCUGUUCUCAACCUCUGCGACUUUUGUGUCAGUGCUUCAUGAUUGUUUUAGAUCAAAUUCAUUUCUGCUCUUAUUUCACUAUAUCUGCAUGGAUGUACUUCACCAGGAAAUAUGAAACCAACAUUGUCGCUAAACAAGCAAGACAAUGCCUCUACCUCUACAAAAUGGAAACUUUUGGCCGUGCAGGCCCUGAUGAUGCAGGUGCUGACAGAAUGUCCAGUCAGCACCAUAUGUACAGCUGCCAGCUUUAGAGAUACUGGGAAUGCUCUCCGCACAGACAGCUCAAAACACAAACAGAAGACCAAGCU
Long non-coding RNA from Conger conger (European conger), 1489 nucleotides. RefSeq lists it as uncharacterized. The transcript has 4 exons. NCBI's taxonomy places the organism in Eukaryota, Metazoa, Chordata, Actinopteri, Anguilliformes, Congridae. The record is from RefSeq and is a predicted model, not a curated record.